CAGAGAGCGCGGAGAGACGCAGAACGCAGCCAGCUCCUCCAGGGCCCUCCAGGCCCUCCGGACCCGGGCCGGCGGGUGAACUGGGGGGCCCCGGGACAGGCCGAGGCCUCUGCCCUGCAGAUACCGGAGGCCUCUGCUGUGGCUGCCCACUGGCUGUGCCCAGGCCUUGAAGCCGCAGCGAACCUCUCUUUCCCACCCCACCUGGAUGACUGAUGGCGGCGGCUGCGUCUCCCCGACGGGACCCCGCCGGCCGCCGCGUCUCCCGACCCAAGCCUGCCGGGCCUCGACGAAACCCCCGCAGAGUCGCUGGGACGCAGCGCCUUUGGGCGGCGCCGGGCGUGGUGGGCCGGAAAGUAUGGCGGCCGCUUGAACGCCGCGCGGCGGAGGCCAUUAAGGCGUGGAGGGCCCGGGAAGGCGGCCUAGGGACGCAAGCAGGCUCGGCCACCUCUUUAGGCCACGGAGCCGCGCAGAUCCGGUUCCCGGGUGACCACUCUGUCGCCAUUGGGCGAGACCGACCUAGUCCUGACGACAACGGACAAAGGCCUUCAGGGGCCUGGAAGGUGAUCAAAAUGGAACACAAUUGCUACCAGAAGAGAACUGCUCCCCUGCAGUGGAGCAGUGAAGAGGCCUUUUACAUCUAAGACCAAAGGAGAGUCUGUGGCAGUCUGAGGAAGUGCUGGCCUGUGGUAGGAUCCACAGCACCACUUCUAAAAGCCCUGUCAGGUGGCUGCCCUUGGACUGCCAUGAGAAAGCGAUGGAGGAUGGAGAGAGCACUAUGUUCUGGGGCUCUGGGUCUUGUCAUUUUAAAAAAUGUGUGGUUUCUGCAUUCAACUGCUUGUUCCUGAAAGCUGUGUUCUCUCAGGCUUCUUUCAUUCUGCAGACGACAGGUUUGGUAUCUCCAGGCCCACAUUUUCCUAAUCUAGAUUUUAGUGUCACAGAGCCAAAUUAACUCUCCAAGGCCUCCCUCAUUUUUUCACUGUUGCCAAGGAAGUUAACAAGGUUGAACAGGCAAAGUGGGAGAUGAGUGAUUUAUUUUUGGUAUUCUUAAGUAGUACAGAGAAAAAUCAUGCCAACUGAAAAAAUGAAGAAAGAAUCCCCUGAUGAGUCUAUUCUCAAGGUCUAUUAAUAAAAUCUCGUAAAUGCAAAAA
Long non-coding RNA from Homo sapiens (human), 1148 nucleotides. Ensembl annotates it as OVCH1 antisense RNA 1. Its record names the gene OVCH1-AS1. The record is from Ensembl. Lineage: Eukaryota; Metazoa; Chordata; Mammalia; Primates; Hominidae.